UACGUAGGGGGCAAGCGUUGUCCGGAUUUAUUGGGCGUAAGGAGCGUGUAGGCGGCUUUACAGGUCCGUUGUGAAAACUCGAGGCUCAACCUCGAGACGCCGGCGGAAACCAUCUGGCUAGAGUCCGGAAGAGGAGAGUGGAAUUCCUGGUGUAGCGGUGAAAUGCGCAGAUAUCAGGAAGAACACCCGUGGCGAAGGCGGCUCUCUGGGCCUUACCUGACGCUGAGGAGCGAAAGCGUGGGUAGCGAACAGG
This 253-nucleotide ribosomal RNA is filed under the name uncultured bacterium. RNAcentral's name for it is "partial 16S ribosomal RNA". It matches the Rfam family "Bacterial small subunit ribosomal RNA", at positions 524 to 776 of the family's 1533-position model. The record is from RNAcentral.